Molecule: long non-coding RNA, 945 nt
Organism: Humulus lupulus (European hop)
Lineage: Eukaryota; Viridiplantae; Streptophyta; Magnoliopsida; Rosales; Cannabaceae
Exons: 4
Source: RefSeq, a predicted model, not a curated record
CUUUUCAUGUUUGUAUUUCAGUUAACGCAAGGUCUAUUAUUCACUACGUAUCUUCAAGUAAGAGUGUUCUGCAUACUUCGAUGUCAUCUCUCAAUAUUGCCAAUCUAUUUACCUCUAGUUGACUAUUCUAAUCAAGUUACUUGACAACCAUUAUUUGAUAGUCGCUACUACGUAUGUUAGAAAGUUUGAUGAGAAAGCACUACAGGAAUUUGAGAUGGUACAUUCACUGUUGAUGUCUCUCCUUAGUCUCUGGUCCCAUCUUAAGCUGCCACUGGAAGGUCCAAUGUUCUCCACAAGCUUUUUAAAUGGACAAUUCACAGAAACAUGAGGAAGAACAACAAUCCGGUGGAUCAUGCAAGGAAAGUUCAUCCUAGCUUGUUUCAUUCUCUUUAUCUCAUGCCAACAUUCCUCUACUACCUACCUUAGAGUUGAAGGAUUCUUCAGAAAUGGAUAUGUCUGAUGUUCAAAAGAAUCUCAAAUGUUUGUACGAGUACAAUGUCAUGCUGAGGGAGAAAUUUUUAUCUGUGCAAUCUAUGCUUCAUGAGUUAGCAACAAAGUCCUUGCCUCCUGCAAAUGAUGACAUUCCUAACACCUCAAAGUUUUUCAAGCAAGUUUUUUGGUGGAUCCUACUCCAUUUUCUAGGAUCUUGCAGGCAAAGGACACCAAGUGAAUUAGAUAGAGAGGUUAAGAACUUGAGGGUGGCAUUUACUGACCUGUUUUUGAAGCAUAACACUUUCAAAGAAACUGCAAAGCCAUCGAGAUAUUGAUGCAAAGAAUGGAAGAAUGUAUUUCACUAAUUUUUGUAUACAUUUCUUGUUUUGUAUUUAGUGAUAAAGGAAUUUGAAUUGGACAUAAAUUAUGUUGUAAUAUGAUUUCUUAAGCCUAGACUAGUAGACUAAAUAUUGUAAUUACAUUUGAGUAAUUAAUAAAAAUCUAUUUAUGUUA